UUUUAUGGAGAGUUUGAUCCUGGCUCAGGAUGAACGCUGGCGGCGUGCCUAAUACAUGCAAGUCGAGCGAACGGAUGAGAAGCUUGCUUCUCUGAUGUUAGCGGCGGACGGGUGAGUAACACGUGGAUAACCUACCUAUAAGACUGGGAUAACUUCGGGAAACCGGAGCUAAUACCGGAUAAUAUUUUGAACCGCAUGGUUCAAAAGUGAAAGACGGUCUUGCUGUCACUUAUAGAUGGAUCCGCGCUGCAUUAGCUAGUUGGUAAGGUAACGGCUUACCAAGGCAACGAUGCAUAGC
This 298-nucleotide ribosomal RNA is filed under the name Staphylococcus aureus. RNAcentral's name for it is "partial 16S ribosomal RNA". It matches the Rfam family "Bacterial small subunit ribosomal RNA", at positions 1 to 287 of the family's 1533-position model. The record is from RNAcentral. Lineage: Bacteria; Bacillati; Bacillota; Bacilli; Caryophanales; Staphylococcaceae.